This 254-nucleotide ribosomal RNA is filed under the name uncultured bacterium. RNAcentral describes it as "partial 16S ribosomal RNA". It matches the Rfam family "Bacterial small subunit ribosomal RNA", at positions 524 to 776 of the family's 1533-position model. The record is from RNAcentral.
UACGUAGGGCGCAAGCGUUGUCCGGAAUUAUUGGGCGUAAAGAGCUCGUAGGCGGUUUGUCGCGUCUGCUGUGAAAACCUGAGGCUCAACCUCGGGCUUGCAGUGGGUACGGGCAGACUAGAGUGCGGUAGGGGUGACUGGAAUUCCUGGUGUAGCGGUGGAAUGCGCAGAUAUCAGGAGGAACACCGAUGGCGAAGGCAGGUCACUGGGCCGCAACUGACGCUGGAGGAGCGAAAGCAUGGGGAGCGAACAGG